AACGAACGCUGGCGGCAGGCUUAACACAUGCAAGUCGAGCGAACCCUUCGGGGUUAGCGGCGGACGGGUGAGUAACGCGUGGGAACGUGCCCUUUUCUACGGAAUAGCCUCGGGAAACUGAGAGUAAUACCGUAUACGCCCUUUUGGGGAAAGAUUUAUCGGAGAAGGAUCGGCCCGCGUUGGAUUAGGCAGUUGGUGGGGUAAUGGCCUACCAAGCCGACGAUCCAUAGCUGGUUUGAGAGGAUGAUCAGCCACACUGGGACUGAGACACGGCCCAGACUCCUACGGGAGGAAGCAGUGGGGAAUCUUAGACAAUGGGGGCAACCCUGAUCUAGCCAUGCCGCGUGAGUGAUGAAGGCCUUAGGGUUGUAAAGCUCUUUCAGCUGGGAAGAUAAUGACUGUACCGGGAGAAUAAGCCCCGGCUAACUCCGUGCCAGCCGCCGCUGUAA
Molecule: ribosomal RNA, 449 nt
Filed under: uncultured bacterium
Lineage: Bacteria
Description: partial 16S ribosomal RNA
Rfam family: Bacterial small subunit ribosomal RNA
Source: RNAcentral